Molecule: ribosomal RNA, 329 nt
Filed under: Haslea provincialis
Lineage: Eukaryota; Bacillariophyta; Bacillariophyceae; Naviculales; Naviculaceae
Description: SSU rRNA
Rfam family: Eukaryotic small subunit ribosomal RNA (bases 107-329)
Source: RNAcentral
AUUUGUGGUUUACCAAGUGUUCCUAGCACUUGUUGUUGGUGAAGUGCUUGGUAUCCAUCCUUGGGUGGAAUCUGUGUGGCAUUAGGUUGUCGUGCAGGGGACGCCCAUCUUUUACUGUGAAAAAAUUAGAGUGUUCAAAGCAGGCUUAUGCCGUUGAAUAUAUUAGCAUGGAAUAAUGAGAUAGGACCUUGGUACUAUUUUGUUGGUUUGCGCACCGAGGUAAUGAUUAAUAGGGACAGUUGGGGGUAUUCGUAUUCCAUUGUCAGAGGUGAAAUUCUUGGAUUUCUGGAAGACGAACUACUGCGAAAGCAUUUACCAAGGAUGUUUUC